UAGGGAACCUUCCACAAUGGACGCAAGUCUGAUGGAGCAACGCCGCGUGAGUGAAGAAGGGUUUCGGCUCGUAAAGCUCUGUUGUUAAAGAAGAACGUGGGUAAGAGUAACUGUUUACCCAGUGACGGUAUUUAACCAGAAAGCCACGGCUAACUACGUACCAG
This 164-nucleotide ribosomal RNA is filed under the name uncultured bacterium. RNAcentral's name for it is "partial 16S rRNA". It matches the Rfam family "Bacterial small subunit ribosomal RNA", at positions 355 to 511 of the family's 1533-position model. The record is from RNAcentral.